This 468-nucleotide ribosomal RNA is filed under the name uncultured bacterium. RNAcentral describes it as "partial 16S ribosomal RNA". It matches the Rfam family "Bacterial small subunit ribosomal RNA", at positions 28 to 507 of the family's 1533-position model. The record is from RNAcentral.
GACGAACGCUGGCGGCGUGCUUAACACAUGCAAGUCGAACGGAAAGGCCCUGCUCUUGUGGGGUGCUCGAGUGGCGAACGGGUGAGUAACACGUGAGUAACCUGUCCUUGACUUUGGGAUAACUUCAGGAAACUGGGGCUAAUACAGGAUAGGAGCUCCUGCUGCAUGGUGGGGGUUGGAAAGUUUCGGCGGUUGGGGAUGGACUCGCGGGUUAUCAGCUUGUUGGGGGGGUAGGGGAUUACCAAGGCUUUGACGGGUAGCCGGCCUGAGAGGGUGACCGGCCACCUUAGGACUGAGAUACGGCCCAGAAUGCUACGGGCGGCAGCAGUGGAGAAUAUUGCGCAGUGGGCGGAAGCCUGAUACAGCAGCGCCGCGUGCGGGAUGACGUCCUUCGGGUUGUAAACCGAUUUCGCAUGUGACGAAGCGUGAGUGACGGUAAUGGGUAAGGAAGCACCGGCUAACUACGUG